UGGGGCAUAUUGGACAAUGCGGGAAACCGUGAUCCAGCAAUGCCGCGUGAGUGAUGAAGGCCUUAGGGUUGUAAAGCUCUUUUACCAGGGAUGAUAAUGACAGUACCUGGAGAAUAAGCUCCGGCUAACUCCGUGCCAGCAGCCGCGGUAAUACGGAGGGAGCUAGCGUUGUUCGGAAUUACUGGGCGUAAAGCGCGCGUAGGCGGCUAUUCAAGUCAGGGGUGAAAUCCCGGGGCACAACCCCGGAACUGCCCUUGAAGCUAGGUAGCUAGAAUACUGUAGAGGUGAGUGGAAUUCCGAGUGUAGAGGUGAAAUUCGUAGAUAUUCGGAAGAACACCAGUGGCGAAGGCGACUGUCGGGCACAUUUCUGACGCUGAGGUGCGAAAGCGUGGGGAGCAAACAGGAUUAGAUACCCCCGUAGUCC
RNAcentral lists this ribosomal RNA (424 nucleotides) under uncultured prokaryote. RNAcentral's name for it is "bacterial SSU rRNA". It matches the Rfam family "Bacterial small subunit ribosomal RNA", at positions 355 to 796 of the family's 1533-position model. The record is from RNAcentral.